Molecule: transfer RNA, 65 nt
Filed under: Luehdorfia japonica
Lineage: Eukaryota; Metazoa; Arthropoda; Insecta; Lepidoptera; Papilionidae
Description: trnA-Phe
Source: RNAcentral
AUUUAAAUAGCUUAUAAGAAGAGUGUAAUAUUGAAGAUAUUAAGGAGAUUAUUAAUCUUUAAAUA